RNAcentral lists this ribosomal RNA (554 nucleotides) under Bacillus cereus. RNAcentral describes it as "bacterial SSU rRNA". It matches the Rfam family "Bacterial small subunit ribosomal RNA", at positions 379 to 873 of the family's 1533-position model. The record is from RNAcentral. Lineage: Bacteria; Bacillati; Bacillota; Bacilli; Caryophanales; Bacillaceae.
AAGUCUGACGGAGCACGCCGCGUGAGUGAUGAAGGCUUUCGGGUCGUAAAACUCUGUUGUUAGGGAAGAACAAGUGCUAGUUGAAUAAGCUGGCACCUUGACGGUACCUAACCAGAAAGCCACGGCUAACUACGUGCCAGCAGCCGCGGUAAUACGUAGGUGGCAAGCGUUAUCCGGAAUUAUUGGGCGUAAAGCGCGCGCAGGUGGUUUCUUAAGUCUGAUGUGAAAGCCCACGGCUCAACCGUGGAGGGUCAUUGGAAACUGGGAGACUUGAGUGCAGAAGAGGAAAGUGGAAUUCCAUGUGUAGCGGUGAAAUGCGUAGAGAUAUGGAGGAACACCAGUGGCGAAGGCGACUUUCUGGUCUGUAACUGACACUGAGGCGCGAAAGCGUGGGUUAGCGAACAGGAUUAGAUACCCUGGUUUUCCACNCCCUAAACGAUUUCGUGCUCAGUGUAAAAGGAGUUUCCGCCCUUUUUUGCUGAAUUUUUUCGGAUUAAGCACUCCGCAUGUUUAGUACGUGCCGGAAAAAUACCCCUCCAGCGACCCGAGGGGGA